RNAcentral lists this ribosomal RNA (309 nucleotides) under uncultured bacterium. RNAcentral's name for it is "partial 16S ribosomal RNA". It matches the Rfam family "Bacterial small subunit ribosomal RNA", at positions 504 to 808 of the family's 1533-position model. The record is from RNAcentral.
AGAGACAGCAGUCGCCGCGGUAAUACGUAGGUCCCGAGCGUUGUCCGGAUUUAUUGGGCGUAAAGGGAGCGCAGGCGGUUUAGUAAGUCUGAAGUUAAAGGCAUUGGCUCAACCAAUGUAUGCUUUGGAAACUGUUAGACUUGAGUGCAGAAGGGGAGAGUGGAAUUCCAUGUGUAGCGGUGAAAUGCGUAGAUAUAUGGAGGAACACCGGUGGCGAAAGCGGCUCUCUGGUCUGUCACUGACGCUGAGGCUCGAAAGCGUGGGUAGCGAACAGGAUUAGAUACCCCAGUAGUCCCUGUCUCUUAUACC